UACGGGGGGGGCAAGCGUUGUUCGGAAUUACUGGGCGUAAAGGGCUCGUAGGUGGCCGAUUCAGUCAGACGUGAAAUCCCUCGGCUCAACCGGGGAACUGCGUCUGAUACUAGUUGGCUUGAAUCCGGGAGAGGGAUGCGGAAUUCCAGGUGUAGCGGUGAAAUGCGUAGAUAUCUGGAGGAACACCGGUGGCGAAGGCGGCAUCCUGGACCAACACUGACACUGAGGAGCGAAAGCCAGGGGAGCAAACGGG
This 253-nucleotide ribosomal RNA is filed under the name uncultured bacterium. RNAcentral describes it as "partial 16S ribosomal RNA". It matches the Rfam family "Bacterial small subunit ribosomal RNA", at positions 524 to 776 of the family's 1533-position model. The record is from RNAcentral.